GGGGGCGUAGCUCAGAUGGUAGAGCGCUCCCUUAGUAUGAGAGAGGUACGGGGAUCGAUACUUCACACCUCCA
Molecule: transfer RNA, 73 nt
Filed under: Trichonephila inaurata madagascariensis
Lineage: Eukaryota; Metazoa; Arthropoda; Arachnida; Araneae; Nephilidae
Rfam family: tRNA
About the family: Transfer RNA (tRNA) molecules are approximately 80 nucleotides in length. Their secondary structure includes four short double-helical elements and three loops (D, anti-codon, and T loops). Further hydrogen bonds mediate the characteristic L-shaped molecular structure. tRNAs have two regions of fundamental functional importance: the anti-codon, which is responsible for specific mRNA codon recognition, and the 3' end, to which the tRNAs corresponding amino acid is attached (by aminoacyl-tRNA synthetases). tRNAs cope with the degeneracy of the genetic code in two manners: having more than one tRNA (with a specific anti-codon) for a particular amino acid; and 'wobble' base-pairing, i.e. permitting non-standard base-pairing at the 3rd anti-codon position.
Source: Rfam by way of RNAcentral